AACGAACGCUGGCGGCAGGCCUAACACAUGCAAGUCGAACGCCCUAGCAAUAGGGAGUGGCAGACGGGUGAGUAACACGUGGGAACCUUCCCUAUAGUACGGAAUAGCCCAGGGAAACUUGGAGUAAUACCGUAUACGCCCGAGAGGGGAAAGAUUUAUCGCUAUAGGAUGGGCCCGCGUAGGAUUAGCUAGUUGGUGAGGUAAUGGCUCACCAAGGCGACGAUCCUUAGCUGGUCUGAGAGGACGACCAGCCACACUGGGACUGAGACACGGCCCAGACUCCUACGGGAGGCAGCAGUGGGGAAUAUUGGACAAUGGGCGCAAGCCUGAUCCAGCCAUGCCGCGUGAGUGAUGAAGGACUUAGGGUUGUAAAGCUCUUUUAUCGGGGACGAUAAUGACGGUACCCGAAGAAUAAGUCCCGGCUAACUUCGUGCCAGCCGCCGCGGUAA
This 449-nucleotide ribosomal RNA is filed under the name uncultured bacterium. RNAcentral's name for it is "partial 16S ribosomal RNA". It matches the Rfam family "Bacterial small subunit ribosomal RNA", at positions 29 to 523 of the family's 1533-position model. The record is from RNAcentral.